This 301-nucleotide ribosomal RNA is filed under the name uncultured bacterium. Its description in RNAcentral is "partial 16S ribosomal RNA". It matches the Rfam family "Bacterial small subunit ribosomal RNA", at positions 509 to 807 of the family's 1533-position model. The record is from RNAcentral.
CAGCCGCCGCGGUAAUACGAAGGGGGCUAGCGUUGCUCGGAAUCACUGGGCGUAAAGGGUGCGUAGGCGGGUUUUUAGGUCAGAGGUGAAAUCCUGGAGCUCAACUCCAGAACUGGCUUUGAUACUGAAAGUCUUGAGUAUGGGAGAGGUGAGUGGAACUGCGAGUGUAGAGGUGAAAUUCGUAGAUAUUCGCAAGAACACCAGUGGCGAAGGCGGCUCACUGGACGACUGUUGACGCUGAGGCACGAAAGCGUGGGGAGCAAACAGGAUUAGAUACCCCAGUAGUCCCUGUCUCUUAUAC